CUCAAUGAAAUUAAAUAGCCGCAAUAUUUGUGCUAAGGUAGCAUAAUCAUUCGUUUUCCAAUUAAAAACUAGAACAAAAGAUUCAACAUUUAAAUUUCUCUCCAACAUAUAUCAUCUAACUUAUUCCAAAUAUUAAAAAAUAUUUAUUCAUUAAGAAGACGACAAGACCCUAUUGAACUUUACUGAAGUUAAACUGGGGAAGUUAAUUAAAUACAAUUUUAAUUUAAAAUUUAAAAACAACCUAAUAUAAUUAAAAAUCAAGUUACCAUAGGGAUAACAGCAUAAUAAAUUUUUCAAGUUCUUAUUUAAAAAAUCGCUUAUGACCUCGAUGUUGAAUUAAUAAUCUAUUAAAAGUAACAAUUUAAUAAGAAAGUCUGUUCGACUU
This 385-nucleotide ribosomal RNA is filed under the name Draconarius carinatus. RNAcentral's name for it is "partial 16S ribosomal RNA". The record is from RNAcentral. Lineage: Eukaryota; Metazoa; Arthropoda; Arachnida; Araneae; Agelenidae.